RNAcentral lists this long non-coding RNA (334 nucleotides) under Homo sapiens (human). Its description in RNAcentral is "HSALNT0076380". The record is from RNAcentral. Lineage: Eukaryota; Metazoa; Chordata; Mammalia; Primates; Hominidae.
CACAUAGUUGUAUUCUCAUAGUGCCCAUUAAGUUAAACUGUAUUAAAGUUCAACCAUCAAACAAACAAAAACUAAGUUCAAAUGUGUUUAGAUAUUAUUCCUUCUUUCAAACAUCGCGGAUUUUCAACUAACAUUCCUGGACAGUGGGGAGAGCCUGGAGAAAUGAGAAACUGCGUGAGCAAAACCAGGGAGGAGGGAGCACGUAAGGCACAUUCAGGGAAGUCUUGCUGCUGGAGGAAGUUAGUUUUGGCGAAUGAUCUAGUUUUGGGAUAACUACAAAAUAACCCCUGAAUCAUAGACAUAUCAACAAAAUAUGUGAAUCACACAUCAACAA